Molecule: ribosomal RNA, 482 nt
Filed under: uncultured bacterium
Lineage: Bacteria
Description: partial 16S ribosomal RNA
Rfam family: Bacterial small subunit ribosomal RNA
Source: RNAcentral
AUUGAACGCUGGCGGCAUGCCUUACACAUGCAAGUCGAACGGUAACGGGCCUUCGGGUGCCGACGAGUGGCGAACGGGUGAGUAAUACAUCGGAACGUGCCCGAUCGUGGGGGAUAACGAGGCGAAAGCUUUGCUAAUACCGCAUACGAUCUACGGAUGACAGCAGGGGACUGCAAGGCCUUGCGCGGACGGAGCGGCCGAUGGCAGCUUAGGUAGUUGGUGGGAUAAAAGCUUACCAAGCCGACGAUCUGUAGCUGGUCUGAGAGGAUGAUCAGCCACACUGGGACUGAGACACGGCCCAGACUCCUAAGGGAGGCAGCAGUGGGGAAUUUUGGACAAUGGGCGCAAGCCUGAUCCAGCCAUGCCGCGUGCAGGAUGAAGGCCUUCGGGUUGUAAACUGCUUUUGUACGGAACGAAAAGCCUUCUUUUAAUACAGGAGGGUCAUGACGGUACCGUAAGAAUAAGCACCGGCUAACUACGUG